This 497-nucleotide ribosomal RNA is filed under the name uncultured bacterium. Its description in RNAcentral is "partial 16S ribosomal RNA". It matches the Rfam family "Bacterial small subunit ribosomal RNA", at positions 28 to 507 of the family's 1533-position model. The record is from RNAcentral.
GACGAACGCUGGCGGCGUGCCUAAUACAUGCAAGUUGAGCGCUGAAGGUUGGUACUUGUACCAACUGGAUGAGCAGCGAACGGGUGAGUAACGCGUGGGGAACCUGCCUUUGAGCGGGGGACAACAUUUGGAAACGAAUGCUAAUACCGCAUAAAAACUUUAAACACAAGUUUUAAGUUUGAAAGAUGCAAUUGCAUCACUCAAAGAUGAUCCCGCGUUGUAUUAGCUAGUUGGUGAGGUAAAGGCUCACCAAGGCGAUGAUACAUAGCCGACCUGGGAGGGGGGUCCGCCACAAUGGGACCGGGACACGGCCCAAACUCCCACGGGAGGGAGCAGUAGGGAAUCUUCGGCAAUGGACGAAAGUCUGGCCGAACAACGCCGCGUGGGUGGAGGAGGGUUUCGGAUCGUAAAACUCUGUUGGUAGAGAAGAACGUUGGGGAGAGGGGAAAGCGCAUCACGUGACGGUAACUACCCAGAAAGGGACGGCUAACUACGUG